AAAAGUGAUAUUUUAAAAAGGGAGCAGCCUGCAGGAACAUUCUUUCUUACUACAGUAAUAAAAAGUCAGGAAUGGAAACAGUGUUUCCUGACUGCCAGGGAAGGCAGACAUUGAUGUUGCAGCAGGUGAUCUUAGCGGCUUCAGCUCUUCCUCUGCCUGGUCUCUGCUCCUCACUGCCUUUUAGAUAGUGCUGUUAAUCCUUACUGGCAUUUCAUUAUGCAUGGACUUGUCUGACCUUUCUAGAGCAGUUGGUAAGGAAAUGUUUGCUGAGUACAUGCUUGUUUCCUAUCAAUCAGUAAAAUACCCAAACAUACUCACACUGCUUCCCUCUUUCUUCUUUCAGCCCAUCGUGCACAUUUAUGUGCAGUCCAUUGAAGGAAUAUUGAAGGAAAUGAGCAGCUGCCUGCCACCUCUCCUGCCACCUCUGCAGUCACCUGCUAGAACAGAGACUUGCAAAUUUCCAUUGCAGGCAGAGGAAAGGAAGCCCAUUGAUGUGCCAUCAAUUGAAGAAAUUUUGAGAGAAAUGAGCAGCUCACUGCCACCUCUCCUGUCACCUCUUCAGACGCCUACAAGAGCAGAGAUGUGCAGACUUCCAUUGGCAGGAAAGGAAUCCCAACCUGAUGGAUCUGCAGCACAGAAACAGAAUAAAGAGAAAUGCAAAGGAAACCCAGUUCUUUCUGUGCUGACAGGUAAUUUUGUGUGUUAGAUGUGGCAGAGACCAUCAAGCGUUCCCACUGAUUAAGCAGUGUGAUUUCCUCUGCUUUGCUGAACAGGGAUGAAUUUAGGAAUGGCUCAAGAAACUGUAAGCAAUCAUUACGU
RNAcentral lists this long non-coding RNA (819 nucleotides) under Cyanistes caeruleus (blue tit). Its description in RNAcentral is "lncRNA (ENSCCEG00000003512.1)". Lineage: Eukaryota; Metazoa; Chordata; Aves; Passeriformes; Paridae. The record is from RNAcentral.